Long non-coding RNA from Herpailurus yagouaroundi (jaguarundi), 1224 nucleotides. RefSeq lists it as uncharacterized. Lineage: Eukaryota; Metazoa; Chordata; Mammalia; Carnivora; Felidae. The transcript has 5 exons. The record is from RefSeq and is a predicted model, not a curated record.
CCGUCUGGAGCAGCCUAGGCUGGAGGGCAGAUGAUGACAGAAGGACUGGGAAGUGAUUCCACUCUCAAUUCGCCCCUCCGUCGGGCAAGAAGGCUCACUGGACCGGGGUGAGCGGGAAACAGAGGGAGCCACACCGAAGGGGACAGGGACACGCUCCCGCGGGAGAGGACGCAAACCCAGCGUUCCGUGAAGCUGGACACUAGGUCAACGCCGUGGAAAGGAAGACGGGGGAGAGUGUGGCCCACCCGCCACGGGAUGGGCGCAGCCGCCACGCGGGUGACAGCCAAGCCGCGCACGAAGUCACGCCCCGGACGGAGCCCGCGUGGAGCAGCGACUCCGAAACCCUAAGGCAUCUGCCGCUGCCGCCACGCACGUCUGUGUCUCCGCGGAUCCUCCGUGCCGGGCAUGUAUUAUUUAUACGAUACGAAAGUUCUUCUGCGGUGGAAAGAGAUUGGGGUGGGGGUCCGCUAUCGAGAGCACCCCCUUCUAUCCCAGGCUGCAGGAGGAGGCAGCGUGGCGAGGAAUCACCGUACUAUUUACAUACCCAGCUCCCCGCGUGGGCUCUCGGUGGUUCUCCAUCGUGGCCUGUGGCAACUCAUUUCUCCAAGUCACUUCCGAUCAAGGUCACGGGCAGCCCAAGCUGUCUGAGGGUCCCCAGUGGCUGGGAGGUAACUCUGAGCACAAGUCUGCUCCAUUGAGGAAACCAAGCCCCGCUUCCCCCGGACGGUCCCCUUCAUACUGGACCCAGACGUGCCUGCACCCCUGAGCCUCAGAGACCACAGCGUCGCAGGUCUUUAUUGAGGCAGGAACCGGCAGCAUCCGGCCAGGUGCAACUAUGCAACACGUCAUCACGCUCCAGAACAGUCCUGACAUGUCCAUCCAAGGAGUGUUUUCUGGAGCAGCAGUUUUGGAGACAUUGUGUCCGUCCCCAGGGAGCCCGGUUAUGCGCAUUUCCCGAGGGAGAAAGUGCUGCUCGCUGGGUCCCAGCGGAGGGCGCUCUGCAGGGCUGGGACCCAAAUUCUCACAUGGCCCUGAAAUGCGCUGAGAAAAAAAAAAAAAAAAAACAACCUGACGGGUGGAUGGAGGACCGUAGACGGGCAGAUGUGGAAAAGCAAACGUGCUAACGGGAAGAAUCUAGAUGUAGGCAUUUGGGUGUUCUCUGGCCAAUUCUUUCAACUUUCGCACGUUUGAAAGUUUUCAGAAUAAAACGUUGGGGAGAAAACA